GAAAGCAUGGGGAGCGAACAGGAUUAGAUACCCUGGUAGUCCAUGCCGUAAACGUUGGGCACUAGGUGUGGGGGACAUUCCACGUUUUCCGCGCCGUAGCUAACGCAUUAAGUGCCCCGCCUGGGGAGUACGGCCGCAAGGCUAAAACUCAAAGGAAUUGACGGGGGCCCGCACAAGCGGCGGAGCAUGCGGAUUAAUUCGAUGCAACGCGAAGAACCUUACCAAGGCUUGACAUAUACCGGAUCGUUCCAGAGAUGGUUCUUCCCCUUUGGGGUCGGUAUACAGGUGGUGCAUGGUUGUCGUCAGCUCGUGUCGUGAGAUGUUGGGUUAAGUCCCGCAACGAGCGCAACCCUCGUUCCAUGUUGCCAGCACGUGAUGGUGGGGACUCAUGGGAGACUGCCGGGGUCAACUCGGAGGAAGGUGGGGAUGACGUCAAAUCAUCAUGCCCCUUAUGUCUUGGGCUUCACGCAUGCUACAAUGGCCGGUACAAAGGGUUGCGAUACUGUGAGGUGGAGCUAAUCCCAAAAAGCCGGUCUCAGUUCGGAUUGAGGUCUGCAACUCGACCUCAUGAAGUCGGAGUCGCUAGUAAUCGCAGAUCAGCAACGCUGCGGUGAAUACGUUCCCGGGCCUUGUACACACCGCCCGUCAAGUCACGAAAGUCGGUAACACCCGAAGCCGGUGGCCCAACCCUUGUGGAGGGAGCCG
Molecule: ribosomal RNA, 705 nt
Filed under: Kocuria palustris
Lineage: Bacteria; Bacillati; Actinomycetota; Actinomycetes; Micrococcales; Micrococcaceae
Description: bacterial SSU rRNA
Rfam family: Bacterial small subunit ribosomal RNA
Source: RNAcentral